RNAcentral lists this ribosomal RNA (492 nucleotides) under uncultured bacterium. RNAcentral describes it as "partial 16S ribosomal RNA". It matches the Rfam family "Bacterial small subunit ribosomal RNA", at positions 29 to 507 of the family's 1533-position model. The record is from RNAcentral.
AGUGAACGCUGGCGGUAGGCCUAACACAUGCAAGUCGAACGGCAGCACAGUAAGAGCUUGCUCUUACGGGUGGCGAGUGGCGGACGGGUGAGGAAUACAUCGGAAUCUACUUUUUCGUGGGGGAUAACGUAGGGAAACUUACGCUAAUACCGCAUACGACCUACGGGUGAAAGCAGGGGAUCUUCGGGCCUUGCGCGAUUGAAUGAGCCGAUGUCGGAUUAGCUAGUUGGCGGGGUAAAGGCCCGCCAAGGCGACGAUCCGUAGCUGGUCUGAGAGGAUGAUCAGCCACACUGGAACUGAGACACGGUCCAGACUCCUACGGGAGGCAGCAGUGGGGAAUAUUGGACAAUGGGCGCAAGCCUGAUCCAGCCAUACCGCGUGGGUGAAGAAGGCCUUCGGGUUGUAAAGCCCUUUUGUUGGGAAAGAAAAGCAGCAGGUUAAUACCCCGCUGUUCUGACGGUACCCAAAGAAUAAGCACCGGCUAACUUCGUG